This 3643-nucleotide long non-coding RNA is filed under the name Fukomys damarensis (Damara mole-rat). RNAcentral's name for it is "lncRNA (ENSFDAG00000030240.1)". The record is from RNAcentral. Lineage: Eukaryota; Metazoa; Chordata; Mammalia; Rodentia; Bathyergidae.
AGCUUCCAGAAGCAUUUGUGAGUCAUAAUGCAGCUCUCAGCGGUACCAUGUUGUGCACAGUGGUCAGGUUCACAGGCUGUUCCAAGGUGGCAGGAGUGUCAGGUCCACCCUCCCAGGAAUGCCCUUGCAACUUGGAUAUCUUCUUUGACAUCUCUCCUGUACUUGGAAUUCCGCCCUCAGUGGCACACCAAGCUCAUACCACCUGGGAGAUUCUCAGGGCUUGUUUUUUCAACUGCCUACUAAACCUGCCUUCCUUGAAGACCCAUAAGUACUGCAAAGUCAUCUCAGUGGACUCUGCUACCUCGUUAAUCUUUCUUGCUCGGGACCUCUCUUCCUGCCCUUCCCCAAGUGGAGUUGUGUCUGCUCCUACUCCUGUGUGUCCCUGAAAACUUGGAGGCACAUCAACAUGCUGCUUUUCCCAUCACUAAACUACAGCUGUCAACCUGAGCAGCAGCAAGCACCUUUGGAUAGCUGCAGAAACAUAGUGCUUGAAGUCAAGCUCUUGCUCACUAGUUACUUGUCUUUGACAAUUUGUUUAUUUUUCUUUCUGAGGUGGUAUCCUUAUCUAAAAUUAAAGCAUGAUUUAAAUAACUAAUUGUGAAAAGAAAUACUCUGUGUACUUCAAAGUUUUAUACCAGUGUUCACUUAGUCUUGACUGACUAUACUAUUAAAUUCUUCAUUAUCCAUUUUCCUGUUCCCUGCUCAUUUUGUACGUAAUAUUGACCAUAAAAUUCCUAAAUUUUAUGAGUUUUAAGGGUAGAGAGUAACAAGAAAUAUUUCUUGUCCUAAUCAUCCCAUUCCUUAGCAAACUAAUAAAUUCUUGCUAACAAGACAAUUGAAUGAAUAAAGCAAUAAAGCUUUAAAGUGAAACUAUAAUGUUUGUUACAGAGAGUGUGGGAGUAACAGGAAGACAAGAGGGUACUCAGGAAAAGGGAACAAAAUAGGGGUUGACCUGCCUCAAUACUGACUCGUAUGGUUCCACAGAAACACUAUGAAUCAGAUGCCUAGGGAAGCUCUUCAUCCUAACAAAAUGGCAAUAAAAGGAGCUCUCUUUCUUAGGAAUGACACUGUCCGUGCCACAUAGCAUUGUCUCAAAUGUGUAUUGAAUUCACUAGCCACAUGAUUUGCAUAUUUUUUAUGUACAUACACACACACAUACCAAUUUGUCAUAGCCUGUGUGUAUGGUUUUUUUCCCCUUUUAAACUUAAUUCUCAUAUGUAGAAACAGUGUACAUGCUUUGCAGAAUGAUAUUCAUACAAAGGAUGAUCAAAAUACACGUUUAAAUUUUUUAAAUUUGUUACCAUAAAAGAUACAUUGCCAUUAACCCUCCUCAAAAUACUCUCCCUCUUUUCCAACGCACUUCUCCCACCAUUCUUGCCACUUUCUGAAGCGGUUCUGGAAGUCCUCUUUUGAGAGGGUCUUUACCAAGAUGUAAUCAAAGCUGCCAACUGCCAUCCAACUGAAAGGCUUAUUAAAAAUAUUACAGUGUAUCUUCAUCCAUCUUAUUCACUAUAUCUGACACCAUGCACCUUCUGGCUUUUCCCCAAAGUCAAAAGGACCAUAUAAGAUAAACAUUUUGAAUUGAUUCAAGACAUUGAGGCAGCCAGGACAGCACAGUUUAAAGCUACCCACAGGGGAGGACUUCCGGGACUGCUUCAGAGUGUAGGCAGAAUGAUGGGAUAAGUAUGUUCUAAGUGAGGGAAAAUGUUUUGAGAGGUACUGUAUUAGUAGCAAUGUAUCUUUAUGUUACUUUUUACUUUAAACAUUCACUGUAGUUUUUUAUCAUAAUGCAUAUUUGGAUUGUGUGUUGCCUGAUAGUACCUACCUAAUCAAUGCUGAAAUCGUAGGUAGUUCAGAAACUGCUCCUUAUUAAGAUAGAUAAGAAAUGUCCACCAAAAUGUUACACUAUAUGUAGUAUUAAGCUUUCUCGAAUCCUGCUUAAAAUUUAAAACUAAGAAUAAGCAAUAAUCAGUAAAUGAGUUUGACAUUUAAGGUUUCAACUUGAUUGGCUUAGGAGUUACCCAGGGGAGUAGUAAAGUACGCUUCUGGAUGUGUCUGGCUGAGUCAAAGAGGAGUGACAUUGGAGUCUAUAUCUGGCCCUCACCCCUUCCUUUCUGGUGCUGUUCUCCUACUCUGCUUCCCUGCUGCUAUAAACUAAAGUUUUGCUCUGUCAUGCCCUUCUACCAUGAUGGUUUGUACCAUGGAGCCAGUAGAUAGAUUAUGGACUGAAUCCCCUGCAACUAUGAGUCAAAUCAAACUUUUGUUCUUUCAAGUCAUGGGUGUCAGAUAUUGUAUAUACAAAGAUAUCUGACUGAUUCAGUGAGAAUUCAUUUUAUUUUUAUAUGGAUAUCUUUUAAGCUUUCUCCUGUACACAACCUUUCAGGAUAAGGUAUAUGGCAGUGGAGCCAAAAACUUGAUGGUUCUACUUAGUAUCCAUCUUUGGAGAAAAAAAAAAUUAUACGGUAGCGAGUUUUCUUUAACACUAUCCUUGGACAACAAAAAUACUAGGUACUUAUUAUAACUCUUACUAUGCCUGGGUCACUGGGUCCUGGUUAAAAAAUGAACAAAUCAAACAGUAAAAUACACUUCCUGUUUUUACAGAGUUUAUAGUAGAAUAAAAUAUAUGACCAUAAACCCAGCAAAACAAUUAAGAGAAAUAGGAUUUGCCUUUUACCAAAGAAGCAAGAUACAUUUGUUCCAAAAUGACUCAUUAAAGGCUGCAGUUGUUUAGUAUGAGAGUAGAUUGAUUAGCAAGAAAAUAAUAGUUUAACCCUACCCUCUAGUCACCAGGCUCCUUGGAUGAGUGCUCAUAUUUCAGAUGAGCCAGCCUGGCAGCAGGAAAAGACUUUUGCAUAAAAGAUUAGGGAAAUUGCCAAGCAACAUUAUGAAGAUUCAUGUUUUUGAAAUUCCUGUUAUUACUGCUUUGAUUAAAUUGGUGUUUCCAAGGGAAUGGGCUUUUAAAUGAAAUUUUAAUAUUUCCCCAGCUAAUUCCUAAUUAUUCUUUCCUUUUACUCUGCUUUCACAGUGUGAUCAUAUUUUGUUUCACUUCCUCAUUUGUCUACCCAAGCCUGUUGCUGGGAAAUAUUUAAGUAACAUGUUUAUGAAAUAAUAAACAUGGGGACAUUUUUGGUUAGAUUUAAGAUUUAGGUCAUGUGCUAAUUUUUAUAGAAAUGACAUUUGUAACACUUAAAUUUGUGAUUGAAUUCUUAAAAAACAAAGACUUCUUCAGCCCUGAAAUUAAUUAGGUUACUGUGUGGUGAAAUCAUCUCUUCUACAGAACUGUUUGACUAAGUACCAGUUGUGAAACAAAUGAGAUGUUAGUCCAUAAUUAGAGUGAUUGUAAUUUGAUUUUAAACAGAGCUCUUAUUGCCUGGUGAGUGGCAUGCAGCCUAACAAUUUUUCCAGUGAAUAAAGGUACUGUAUAUUAAGGUGAUGGCUCUCUUACACUGUGUAUAUAUGGCUGAUAACUAAUCCUGGUACCCUUCUGUGUGUAUAUUUUAAAUGACUGUUCUUACACUGAGUUUGAAUGACUAAUAUUACACUACAUGAAAUAUUUGGCUAUUCAUUCUAAAAGUGAUAUUUUUACCCAAAGCAUUUAAUUCCACCAAAGCACUAAAAUACUUUGUAAUUCAAAGAAACACAA